RNAcentral lists this ribosomal RNA (442 nucleotides) under uncultured bacterium. RNAcentral's name for it is "partial 16S ribosomal RNA". It matches the Rfam family "Bacterial small subunit ribosomal RNA", at positions 338 to 795 of the family's 1533-position model. The record is from RNAcentral.
CCUACGGGGGGCUGCAGUGGGGAAUAUUGGGCAAUGGGCGCAAGCCUGACCCAGCGACGCCGCGUGAGGGAAGACGGUCUUCGGAUUGUAAACCUCUUUCAGCAGGGAAGACCAAAGGACGGUACCUGCAGAAGAAGCCGCGGCUAACUACGUGCCAGUAGCCGCGGUAAAACGUAGGUGGCCAGCGUUGUCCGGACUUACUUGGUGUAAAGUGUGUGUGGGCGGGUUUGCAAUUCAGAUGUGAAAAUUAUGGGCUCAACCCAUAACCUGCGUCUGAAACUACAGAUCUUGAGAGUGAGAGAGGUAAACGGAAUUCCCGGUGUAGCGGUGAAAUGCGUAGAUAUAUGGAGGAACACCAGUGGCGAAGGCGGUUUACUGGAUCACAACUGACGCUGAGACACGAAAGCGUGGGGAGCAAACAGGAUUAGAUACCCGAGUAGUC